GGUGCAGCACUUAGUGGGUCUGCAGGAGUCGCUUACCCUUCUCCUCCUGUUCUUUGCAGCUUGCUUUCACAGCCUUGAGGGCAGGAUAGGCCACACAUAAGUGUGACAUGCAGCAGAAUGAAAUGCCUUUUAUCAUCAAGAGUCACAGCCUUAAGCUCAGAGGACUGGGAAUCUCUCCCACAAUCCGGAAGGCAGGACAUCCAGAAGGCAGCUUCAUGGAGGAGUGAGAUCAAGCUGGGCAGUGAAGGCAGAGAGGACUUUUCAGGUAGGAAGUGGUCUUAGAGGAGAAGAAGGCUGCACCUGAGCAAAGGCCUGUAGGUGGAGAGAAGGAAAAGGGUUUUUCCUUCUUAGUUACACAAGCAGGUUUGAAGGAUUCCAGCGGGCUCUGGACUUACCCCUAUCCUCCCUACCCCACCAGCCUAGUUGAGCCUUCCUCUCAGUAAGGGAUGCCAGCGUCUUUUGGCUCCUUCUCCAGCCCUCCAGAUCACCCCCUCUUUCUCGAAAUGCUUUCCUUGCCUCCUUGACACCUGGCUCUUUCUAUUUUUCUCCUCUCCUUAGGCUGUUUCUCCUUGUCUCCGCCAAUUCUUCUUUCAGCUCCUGAAGAGUUUCCAAGGGAGAGGACUUGGCAGCUGUCUGCAUAUGAUGUCCUUGUGCAAACCUGCGAUUGAGAUCCCAGGGAAGGGGCUGUCAGCAGUUGAAGGGGUGACUAGCCCUGUGAAUGUACGCUUAAGUUUUGGUGCCUUCUGGAUGUCCCCAGGCAGGAAUCUCUGCCUUCUC
RNAcentral lists this long non-coding RNA (777 nucleotides) under Homo sapiens (human). Its description in RNAcentral is "HSALNT0148797". Lineage: Eukaryota; Metazoa; Chordata; Mammalia; Primates; Hominidae. The record is from RNAcentral.